This 252-nucleotide ribosomal RNA is filed under the name uncultured bacterium. RNAcentral's name for it is "partial 16S ribosomal RNA". It matches the Rfam family "Bacterial small subunit ribosomal RNA", at positions 524 to 776 of the family's 1533-position model. The record is from RNAcentral.
UACGGAGGAUGCGAGCGUUAUCCGGAUUUAUUGGGUUUAAAGGGUGCGUAGGUGGGUUAUCAAGUCAGCGGUAAAAUCGUGGAGCUCAACUCCAUCCAGCCGUUGAAACUGAUGAUCUUGAGUGGGCGAGAAGUAUGCGGAAUGCGUGGUGUAGCGGUGAAAUGCAUAGAUAUCACGCAGAACUCCGAUUGCGAAGGCAGCAUACCGGCGCCCGACUGACGCUGAAGCACGAAAGCGUGGGUAUCGAACAGG